GGGCAGGGUGAGUCGACCCCUAAGGCGAGGCCGAAAGGCGUAGUCGAUGGGAAACAGGUUAAUAUUCCUGUACUUGGUGUUACUGCGAAGGGGGGACGGAGAAGGCUAUGUUAGCCGGGCGACGGUUGUCCCGGUUUAAGCAUGUAGGCGGAGGUUCCAGGUAAAUCCGGUACCUUUUUAACGCUGAGGUGUGAUGACGAGGCACUACGGUGCUGAAGUAACAAAUGCCCUGCUUCCAGGAAAAGCCUCUAAGCAUCAGGUAACAUUGAAUCGUACCCCAAACCGACACAGGUGGUCAGGUAGAGAAUACCAAGGCGCUUGAGAGAACUCGGGUGAAGGAACUAGGCAAAAUGGUGCCGUAACUUCGGGAGAAGGCACGCUGAUAUGUAGGUGAAGCCCCUGCGGGUGGAGCUGAAAUCAGUCGAAGAUACCAGCUGGCUGCAACUGUUUAUUAAAAACACAGCACUGUGCAAACACGAAAGUGGACGUAUACGGUGUGACGCCUGCCCGGUGCCGGAAGGUUAAUUGAUGGGGUUAUCCGUAAGGAGAAGCUCUUGAUCGAAGCCCCGGUAAACGGCGGCCGUAACUAUAACGGUCCUAAGGUAGCGAAAUUCCUUGUCGGGUAAGUUCCGACCUGCACGAAUGGCGUAAUGAUGGCCAGGCUGUCUCCACCCGAGACUCAGUGAAAUUGAACUCGCUGUGAAGAUGCAGUGUACCCGCGGCAAGACGGAAAGACCCCGUGAACCUUUACUAUAGCUUGACACUGAACAUUGAGCCUUGAUGUGUAGGAUAGGUGGGAGGCUUUGAAGCGUGGACGCCAGUCUGCGUGGAGCCAACCUUGAAAUACCACCCUUUAAUGUUUGAUGUUCUAACGUUGGCCCCUUAUCGGGGUUGCGGACAGUGUCUGGUGGGUAGUUUGACUGGGGCGGUCUCCUCCCAAAGAGUAACGGAGGAGCACGAAGGUUAGCUAAUCCUGGUCGGACAUCAGGAGGUUAGUGCAAUGGCAUAAGCUAGCUUGACUGCGAGCGUGACGGCGCGAGCAGGUGCGAAAGCAGGUCAUAGUGAUCCGGUGGUUCUGAAUGGAAGGGCCAUCGCUCAACGGAUAAAAGGUACUCCGGGGAUAACAGGCUGAUACCGCCCAAGAGUUCAUAUCGACGGCGGUGUUUGGCACCUCGAUGUCGGCUCAUCACAUCCUGGGGCUGAAGUAGGUCCCAAGGGUAUGGCUGUUCGCCAUUUAAAGUGGUACGCGAGCUGGGUUUAGAACGUCGUGAGACAGUUCGGUCCCUAUCUGCCGUGGGCGCUGGAGAAUUGAGGGGGGGCUGCUCCUAGUACGAGAGGACCGGAGUGGACGCAUCACUGGUGUUCGGGUUGUCAUGCCAAUGGCAUUGCCCGGUAGCUAAAUGCGGAAGAGAUAAGUGCUGAAAGCAUCUAAGCACGAAACUUGCCCCGAGAUGAGUUCUCCCUGACUCCUUGAGAGUCCUGAAGGAACGUUAAAGACGAUGACGUUGAUAGGUCGGGUGUGUAAGCGUAGCGAUACGUUGAGCUAACCGAUACUAAUGAACCGUGAGGCUUAACCUU
This 1578-nucleotide ribosomal RNA is filed under the name Klebsiella aerogenes MGH 77. RNAcentral describes it as "bacterial LSU rRNA". It matches the Rfam family "Bacterial large subunit ribosomal RNA", at positions 1372 to 2925 of the family's 2925-position model. The record is from RNAcentral. Lineage: Bacteria; Pseudomonadati; Pseudomonadota; Gammaproteobacteria; Enterobacterales; Enterobacteriaceae.